AUUGCAUCAUACAAAGACAGCGUGCAGCACAGCAUGCAGCAUAACAUCGCACACUUCAAUCUCUUUCCUUGGGAUCUUGGCUGGGUUUUUUGGAUACCUGAGAAGAAGCCUGUGAACCUAGGAUUCUCUCCCUGACGAGGGAGAUGGCGAGCCGACCAGCUUGAUCAACUUGAUUCAUCUUCAUCCAUUGAGGAAGAACCCCCUGAUACCCCUUGUUUCUCCCAACCCCACUCUGGUGUGGUAGGAUUGUGAUUGAGAAAUUACACAAUUUUAUUUGAUACUUUAUUUUUUGUAAAAAGGGUGCACCCAACCAA
This is a long non-coding RNA of Anguilla anguilla (European eel), 314 nucleotides long. RefSeq lists it as uncharacterized. The record is from RefSeq and is a predicted model, not a curated record. Lineage: Eukaryota; Metazoa; Chordata; Actinopteri; Anguilliformes; Anguillidae. The transcript is spliced from 3 exons.